GAUGAACGCUGGCGGCGUGCCUAAUACAUGCAAGUCGAACGCAUUGAGAGAAGUGCUUGCACUUUUCAAUUUGAGUGGCGAACGGGUGAGUAACACGUGGGCAACCUACCUGAUAGCGGGGGAUAACGAGUGGAAACAUUCGCUAAUACCGCAUAACAAUAGAGAAGGCAUCUUCUUUAUUUAAAAGGCGCUUUCAAGCGUAACUAUCAGAUGGGCCCGCGGUGCAUUAGUUAGUUGGUGGGGUGAAGGCCUACCAAGAAGAUGAUGCAUAGCCGAGUUGAGAGACUGAUCGGCCACAUUGGGACUGAGACACGGACCAAACUCCUACGGGAGGCUGCAGUAGGGAAUCUUCCACAAUGGACGAAAGUCUGAUGGAGCAACGCCGCGUGUGUGAUGAAGGCUUUCGGGUCGUAAAGCACUGUUGUAUGGGAAGAAAUGCUAGGCUAGGAAAUGAGCUUAGUUUGACGGUACCAUACCAGAAAGGGACGGCUAAAUACGUGCCAGCAGCCGCGGUAA
Molecule: ribosomal RNA, 516 nt
Filed under: uncultured bacterium
Lineage: Bacteria
Description: partial 16S ribosomal RNA
Rfam family: Bacterial small subunit ribosomal RNA
Source: RNAcentral